Molecule: long non-coding RNA, 2953 nt
Filed under: Sus scrofa (pig)
Lineage: Eukaryota; Metazoa; Chordata; Mammalia; Artiodactyla; Suidae
Description: lncRNA (ENSSSCG00040053849.1)
Source: RNAcentral
GCCAAAAGGCAUGUAGAAGUUCCUGGGCCAGGCCAGGCGGAACCCACAUCACAGAAGCUUGAACCACAGCAGUGACAACACCGGAUCCUUAAUCAGCUGCGUCACAAGGGAACCCUUAAGUUUCUUUAUAGCAAAAAAACAAAAAAACAAACAAAAAAACAGUAUCAUUUACCAUAUUAAAAUAAUUACAUGACAGUUGAAAGAAAAAAUGUCACUGACAUUAAUAGCUAAAAUUCCCCUUUGGAGACACAGACUGAGCCUCUGCUUUGCCACCACCCAGAUGGGUAAAGCCCCCCCUCUCCCCAGGCCCCCAUCUUCCCAUUUUUUAAAUGAGAAUUCUGGGUGAGAGACUCUUGAAAUUCCAUCCACCUUCCAGCUCUAAAUGGCAAACUCUCAAUCCAUGAAUGAUCCUACCUUAAAAGAAAUAAAAUCAGAAAACCCACUUCUACACAAUGGGAGCCAAAGGGAGGAGCUGGGGGGGGGAUGCAGUGCGGGGAAGAGAAGGUUAUUCACAUUCCAAAAGGAUUUGCUCUUACAAAAGGAUUAACAGCAGAGUUGCUUUAAAUAGCAGCUUAAGCCUUGUUUAUGGAUUACUAAGUACUGGAUGGAGAGGUGGAGGGGCCCAGGAAUGAGGAGCAAAGCUUGCUUAGGCCCAACCAGAAAUUAAAAAUGUGCACGCUUGAACAUUAUAACGAGUUCAACAACAGAAAACCAUGCCAUUUCAAAGAAUCCUCUUCCUACCCAACAGUUUGGUUCUGCAUCAAUUGCAUUAAAAAUGUGCCUGUAGCCAUGAGCCAGUGUAGAACAGUGAUCCAGCAUGCUUUUAAAAAAAAUAAACACAUAAGGAUCUGGCGUUGCCAUGAACUGCGGUAUGAUGCUCGGAUCUGGUGUUGCUGUGGUUGUGUGAACCUAAAAAGAUCUCCCCCAAAAACAAAAACACAUAAGCCCCUAUUGUAAGACGCGGAUAAUUUAUUAAAUGUUUUAAGUGCUUGUCAUGUACCAGGACUUACUGAGCAGGUGACCUGCAUUAUUAUUUCAUCUAACUACCAAAGCAACCCAGUGAAGAGGGUUUAACUGUUACCCGUCAUUUUGUAGAUGAGGAAACUAAGACUGAGAGAGGGGAUAUGAUUCACCCAGAGCCAGUGGAUGGCUGAAAGAAUACUCAAGCUGAAGUCUGAACCAAGGCCAGAGGUUAGAUUAUUAAAGGUAGGAUCCUUGCCUCAAGGAGGACACAGAAGAUCAGUCAAGGAGGUCAACAGAUACAGAGAAGGACGGUAAGCACCCUAGGAGAGACUUUUGUGGGAGCAGAGGAAGAGGACACCCAGGGUCUAGGGUGUGCCCAGAGUCGGGGGGUGCCCCCAAACCAGAUGUGACCCCCCCCUUUGUCAACCUGUUGCCGAAACUCAGCCUCUGUCUGCUGUUGCCGAAUAGAAACGCGGAGACAGAGUUUUUGAUGAAGGAGAAAAAGAUAACUUUAUUGCUUUGCCAGGCAAAGGGGGCCACAGCAGGCUAAGGCCUUAAAGACUGUGCCCCCCUUGGAGAGACUAGGAGGUGGUUUUAUAGUGUGGGGAGUGGAACACAGGGCCCCGGAUAAAGAUCAGAGUGGAGGCAAGCUGGCAUUGUCUUUCAGAGCUGGAGUUUCGGGGUCCCAGGACUGGUUUGGGUGGUCCUCCCUCCUCCCAGAAUGAAGAUGCUUCAUCAAGGAGUGCUUCCAUUUGUUGAGGGUAUUAGCUCUGCAGAAAGGGUUCAAGAUCUUGUUCUGUGUAUUCCUGGAGGAAGAACCAGGACCCUGGCUCAAGGCUGCUCUGUUGUCUCUGGAUGCUCCUCCCUGGUGUCUGCGUCCCCUCCCUUCCCUGAUGAGCAGCUGCCCUUUGGAACUCAGGGAAGGUCGUGGAGGCUGAGGGACACUGUCACGAGAACCUCUCUGAGCAAAAACCAGUCUCUCCUGGGGCCUCUACUCCCCAAAGGUGGGCGGCGGGCCUGGAGGAGGCGGUGCGAAGGGAGAACGAGCAACUCUUGGCAGGGGCUUGCCCAGGGCUGACAUCGCCUUACCAGGCUACCUGAGGGCUUCUCAUGCCUCAUUUUCCUCCCUUGAUAAAUGGGGAUAUUAGCUCACCCACCUCGGUGGGCAGGGAAACACCAGUGAUUAAUCCGUUAACGUCUGCGAAACGCUCCUGCUCUAUGGAGAAGGGCACCUUGGGAGAGAAGCUAUAAAAACACUGAGGGGCAGCCUAUUAUCAGCUCGAUCACUAUUACUGUCAUUUUCAUCAUGACACGUGCUGCCCAAAGACCUGCCGUGGCUCCCCACUGCCUGGAAAACGGGCAGCUAGCAGCCUGGCGGCCAAGGCCACUGGUACCACUACUGCCCUGGUCCUCAUCCUCCUUCUCAUCCCCAGGUGUUCAGGCCCUGUGAGCCCCUCCGGGCGAGCCCACUGCCCCCACAUCAUCCCAUGGUACCCGUGUUCCAGGGCAAGCACGGCCCUCAACAUCCAAGCUGGAAGCUCAACACCCAGUGCGCCCGUUUUUGUUGCUGAGCCCGUUAUCUGGCCUCUCUGGAGGGUUCUGUCAGCACAGGUACAGAGUGGAGGUGGGGGAGACACAAAAAUGGGGUCUUGCACAAGUUUCUCUCUCCCCAGAGCGAUAAGACAAGAUUCUAUAUCGACUCCAUCUAGAUAAUAAGCAAAAUCUCCAACUAGAUAAUAAGUGCCCUGAGGACUAGAUGGCAUUCAGAUCAAGUCCAAAAUUCAUAAAUAGAGCCUCGGAAAGUAGUUAAUGGUACAGCAAAGAAUCUGGGUUCAGAGAGAUUGGAGCUCCCCAUUCCACCUCCCAUCACCUCCCUGAAACCAACUUCCUCCUCUUCAAAAUGGAGAUGAUGUGUCUGCCUGAGAGAGGACAAAUCUGGUCUUAGGAGUUCCUGGGUGGCCUAGGGAUUAAGGAGCCAGCCUUGCCACUG